RNAcentral lists this ribosomal RNA (254 nucleotides) under uncultured bacterium. RNAcentral's name for it is "partial 16S ribosomal RNA". It matches the Rfam family "Bacterial small subunit ribosomal RNA", at positions 524 to 776 of the family's 1533-position model. The record is from RNAcentral.
CACGUAGGGUGCGAGCGUUGUCCGGAUUUAUUGGGCGUAAAGAGCUCGUAGGUGGUUCGGUAAGUCGGGUGUUAAACCCCCAGGCUCAACCUGGGGACGCCACUCGAUACUGCUGUGACUAGAGUCCGGUAGGGGAGCGUGGAAUUCCUGGUGUAGCGGUGAAAUGCGCAGAUAUCAGGAGGAACACCAGCGGCGAAGGCGGCGCUCUGGGCCGGUACUGACACUGAGGAGCGAAAGCGUGGGUAGCAAACAGG